UACGUAGGUGGCAAGCGUUGUCCGGAUUUAUUGGGCGUAAAGCGAGCGCAGGCGGUUUUUUAAGUCUGAUGUGAAAGCCUUCGGCUUAACCGGAGAAGUGCAUCGGAAACUAGGAGACUUGAGUGCAGAAGAGGACAGUGGAACUCCAUGUGUAGCGGUGGAAUGCGUAGAUAUAUGGAAGAACACCAGUGGCGAAGGCGGCUGUCUAGUCUGUAACUGACGCUGAGGCUCGAAAGCAUGGGUAGCGAACAGG
This 253-nucleotide ribosomal RNA is filed under the name uncultured bacterium. Its description in RNAcentral is "partial 16S ribosomal RNA". It matches the Rfam family "Bacterial small subunit ribosomal RNA", at positions 524 to 776 of the family's 1533-position model. The record is from RNAcentral.